RNAcentral lists this ribosomal RNA (587 nucleotides) under uncultured bacterium. RNAcentral describes it as "bacterial SSU rRNA". It matches the Rfam family "Bacterial small subunit ribosomal RNA", at positions 338 to 916 of the family's 1533-position model. The record is from RNAcentral.
CCUACGGGAGGCAGCAGUGAGGAAUAUUGCGCAAUGGGCGAAAGCCUGACGCAGCGACGCCGCGUGGGUGAUGAAGGCCUUCGGGUCGUAAAACCCUGUCGGGUGGAACGAAUUCCGCUUCGCUAAUACCGAGGCGGCUUGACGGUACCACCGAAGGAAGCCCCGGCUAACUACGUGCCAGCAGCCGCGGUAAUACGUAGGGGGCGAGCGUUGUUCGGAUUUACUGGGCGUAAAGAGCGCGUAGGCGGUUCGAUGAGUCGGAGGUGAAAUCCCUCGGCUUAACCGAGGACCCGCGUCCGAUACUGUCGAACUUGAGUGCAGGAGAGGAGAGCGGAAUUCCCAGUGUAGCGGUGAAAUGCGUAGAUAUUGGGAGGAACACCGGUGGCGAAGGCGGCUCUCUGGACUGUCACUGACGCUGAGGCGCGAAAGCUAGGGGAGCAAACGGGAUUAGAUACCCCGGUAGUCCUAGCCGUAAACGAUGGGCACUAGGUGUGGGAGGUAUCGACCCCUUCCGUGCCGCAGCUAACGCAUUAAGUGCCCCGCCUGGGGAGUACGGCCGCAAGGUUGAAACUCAAAGGAAUUGACGG